UAGGGGGCAAGCGUUAUCCGGAUUCAUUGGGCGUAAAGCGCGCGCAGGCGGACCGUUAAGCGGGACCUCUAAUCUUGGGGCUCAACCUCAAGCCGGGUCCCGAACUGGCGCAGUCUCGAGUUCGGUAGGGGAGGUCGGAAUUCCCGGUGUAGCGGUGGAAUGCGCAGAUAUCGGGAAGAACACCGAUGGCGAAGGCAGACCUCUGGGCCGCAACUGACGCUGAGGCGCGAAAGCUAGGGGAGCGAA
RNAcentral lists this ribosomal RNA (246 nucleotides) under uncultured bacterium. RNAcentral's name for it is "partial 16S ribosomal RNA". It matches the Rfam family "Bacterial small subunit ribosomal RNA", at positions 528 to 772 of the family's 1533-position model. The record is from RNAcentral.